GGGGCGAUGGCGGAAUCGGCAGACGCAACGGACUUAAAAUCCGUCGGUAGUGAUACUGUGAGGGUUCGACCCCCUCUCGCCCCACCA
Molecule: transfer RNA, 87 nt
Filed under: Anaerolineales bacterium
Lineage: Bacteria; Bacillati; Chloroflexota; Anaerolineae; Anaerolineales
Description: tRNA-Leu
Rfam family: tRNA
About the family: Transfer RNA (tRNA) molecules are approximately 80 nucleotides in length.
Source: RNAcentral